CACGUAGGGGGCAAGCGUUGUCCGGAUUUAUUGGGCGUAAAGAGCUCGUAGGCGGCUCAGUAAGUCGGGUGUGAAACCUCCAGGCUCAACCUGGAGACGCCACCUGAUACUGCUGUGGCUAGAGUCCGGUAGGGGAGCGUGGAAUUCCUGGUGUAGCGGUGAAAUGCGCAGAUAUCAGGAGGAACACCAGCGGCGAAGGCGACUCUCUGGUCUGUAACUGACGCUGAGGAGCGAAAGCGUGGGGAGCAAACAGG
This 254-nucleotide ribosomal RNA is filed under the name uncultured bacterium. RNAcentral's name for it is "partial 16S ribosomal RNA". It matches the Rfam family "Bacterial small subunit ribosomal RNA", at positions 524 to 776 of the family's 1533-position model. The record is from RNAcentral.